Molecule: transfer RNA, 76 nt
Filed under: Escherichia coli
Lineage: Bacteria; Pseudomonadati; Pseudomonadota; Gammaproteobacteria; Enterobacterales; Enterobacteriaceae
Also listed under: 5 other names
Description: tRNA-Asn
Rfam family: tRNA
About the family: Transfer RNA (tRNA) molecules are approximately 80 nucleotides in length.
Source: RNAcentral
UCCUCUGUAGUUCAGUCGGUAGAACGGCGGACUGUUAAUCCGUAUGUCACUGAUUCGAGUCCAGUCAGAGGAGCCA